UGGGGAAUUUUGCGCAAUGGGCGAAAGCCUGACGCAGCAACGCCGCGUGCGGGAAGAAGGCCCUCGGGUUGUAAACCGCUUUCAGCAGGAACGAAAUUGACGGUACCUGCAGAAGAAGCCCCGGCCAACUACGUGCCAGCAGCCGCGGUGAUACGUAGGGGGCGAGCGUUGUCCGGAUUCAUUGGGCGUAAAGAGCUCGUAGGCGGUUCGGUUAGUCAGAUGUGAAAACUCCGGGCUCAACUCGGAGAGGCCAUCUGAUACUGCCGUGACUGGAGUUCGGUAGAGGAGUGUGGAAUUCCCGGUGUAGCGGUGAAAUGCGCAGAUAUCGGGAGGAACACCAGCGGCGAAGGCGGCACUCUGGGCCGAUACUGACGCUGAGGAGCGAAAGCGUGGGGAGCGAACAG
Molecule: ribosomal RNA, 404 nt
Filed under: uncultured bacterium
Lineage: Bacteria
Description: bacterial SSU rRNA
Rfam family: Bacterial small subunit ribosomal RNA
Source: RNAcentral